GGAAAAAUUUUGUAAAAUAUUGAAUGACUGGAGAAUUUCAGGAAAAGUAUCAAAAGUCAUAGGUACUUGGGGACAGGAAAAUGUUUUUUUUUUAUCCCUCCUCCUUUAUUUCAAAAUUCCCAAUUUUUGGUUGUCUAUUAAUUUCAAUAUUUAGUAAUAAAUUGAUAUGAACAUUCAAUUAAUGAGCCUGUAAUCCAGUGGUUGUCGUUUGUUUAUGUAUUACAUAUUUGUUUUUCGUUCAUUUUUUUGUAGAUAUUAGGCCGGUAGUUUUCUCGUUUGAAUAUGUUUUACAUUGUCAUUUUGGGACCUUUUAUAGCCCACAAUGCGGUAUGGGCUUUGCUAGUUGUUGAAGGCCGUACCUAUAGUUGUAAAUUUCUGUGUCAUUUUGGUCUUUUGUGAACAGUUGUCUCAACAUGGCAUUCAUACCACAUCUUCUUUUUUAUAUGUAGACCUUACAAUC
RNAcentral lists this long non-coding RNA (460 nucleotides) under Mytilus galloprovincialis (Mediterranean mussel). The record is from RNAcentral. Lineage: Eukaryota; Metazoa; Mollusca; Bivalvia; Mytilida; Mytilidae.